RNAcentral lists this RNase P RNA (395 nucleotides) under Chloroflexi bacterium RBG_13_48_10. RNAcentral's name for it is "RNase P RNA component class A". It matches the Rfam family "Bacterial RNase P class A". From Rfam's summary of the family: Ribonuclease P (RNase P) is a ubiquitous endoribonuclease, found in archaea, bacteria and eukarya as well as chloroplasts and mitochondria. Its best characterised activity is the generation of mature 5'-ends of tRNAs by cleaving the 5'-leader elements of precursor-tRNAs. Cellular RNase Ps are ribonucleoproteins. The record is from RNAcentral. Lineage: Bacteria; Bacillati; Chloroflexota.
CAGGCUGACCGGAUGACCGCGGUGGUGUCAUACCAUCGAGGAAAGUCCGCACUCCACAGAGCAAGGUGCCGGGUAACACCCGGGACGGGGCAACCUGACGGAUCGGGCUAAAGAAAUAAACCGCGCCUCACCCAUGGGUGAGGUGUAAGGGUGAAAAGGUGGUGUAAGAGACCACCGGCGCAGGCGGUAACGUCUGCGGCCAGGCAACCCCCACCUGGAGCAAGGUCAAGCAGAGGCAAUCCCGCAAGGGAGGUGGCUGCUCGUCACCUGGAUCGCAAGAUCCGCAACCUCGGGUAGACUGCACGAGGCGCGGGAAAACUCGCGCUCUAGAGAGAUGGUCAUCGGCGCAGGGAGACUUGCGUGCACAGAAUGCGGCUUACAGGCUGGCCUGGGGA